This is a long non-coding RNA of Homo sapiens (human), 1209 nucleotides long. RefSeq lists it as uncharacterized. The transcript is spliced from 3 exons. The record is from RefSeq and is a predicted model, not a curated record. NCBI's taxonomy places the organism in Eukaryota, Metazoa, Chordata, Mammalia, Primates, Hominidae.
AAUUUCAAACUGUGGUCAUGCCUGUGUAUCCAAUACUCCUAACAGCCAGGCUGUGAGGAAAUGAAGGUUUCUAGACUGGAGUCAGGCGAGAUGUAGCAGGGCUGGAUGUGUUAAACAAAGCACCGAAGGAAGUGGAAAGCUGCAGUGCCCUGCAGUCAGGACUGAGGGGCUGGUCAGAGUGGAAUACCUGUUUACUCACUCAGCUUGCACGGAGAACCUUCUGAGGGAAGAAAACCUGAGGCUGGGUAAUUUACAAGGAAAAGAAGUUCAUUUGGCUCAUGGUUCUGCAGGCUGUACAAGAAGCAUGGCACCAGCAUCUGCAUCUGGUGAGGGCCUCAAGCUGCUUCCAUUUAUGGUGGAAGGGAAGAUGAGCCAGCGUGGACAGAGAUCCCAUCCCAUGGUCAAGAAGAAAUUGUUGCUCCAUCAUAUAAGUGAAUGUCAGGAGGAGGAAGGAGGAUCUUAAGGAAUGAAGUUCUAAUGCAUCCUCUUUGAUUAAAAAGUAAAAGAAUAAAGUUAGCAGAGGAUAAAAGGUAUAUGGAGAGAGCCACCCACAAAAAGGGUUGCACCGGUGAAAUGGGCCUGUGUAGGUCACAUCCCCUCAGGGAGGGUAGCAUUGGGUCCCUUGCAUUUCAAAUAAAAUGCAAUUUUAGGAACAGGGGCUGAAGGGAGAGACACUUCCACCCACCUCAACAGGGCAAUUUUUUAAAAAUUUAAUUUAAUUAAUUUAUUUUUUUGAGACAGAGUCUCGCUCCAUCACCCAGGCUGGAGUGCAGUGGCGCCAUCAUGGCUCACUGCAACCUCCAUCUCCCAAGGGGUUUGAGAGAUUCUCCAGCCUCAGUCUCCCAAGUAGCCGGGAUUACAGGCGCGCGCUACUAUCCCUGGCUAAUUUUUUGUAUUUUUAGUAGAGACGGGGUUUCACCAUGUUGGCCAGGCUGGUCUUGAACUCCUGACCUCAGGUGAUCCCCGUGCCUCGGCCUCCCAAAGUGCUAGGAUUACAAGCGUGAGCCACCGCGCCCGGCCCAACAGGGCAAAUUUAACUGAACUUACAGUACAACCACCCGAAGCUCUGGGAGGAUGGCAGAGUGCUCUGACCUUAGACUAGUUACUUAACUUUUUAAAGCAUCAGACUUCCCACCUGUAAAAACACGAGAAGAGAACCUUCCUUACAGAGCUGUGAAAGUCCAAUAAUACAAAGAAAAUAUAACAUCA